This 557-nucleotide non-coding RNA is filed under the name Pan troglodytes (chimpanzee). Lineage: Eukaryota; Metazoa; Chordata; Mammalia; Primates; Hominidae. The record is from RNAcentral.
UGAGGGAGGCUUUCUCACGCAGACCCUAAAACGGGCUGGGCCGUGGGAGUGCUGGCCAACGUGCCAGGCAGGGAGGACCUGAAUUCCUGAAGGUGGUGGUGGCAGCUGUUAGGGUCCACAGGUUAAUGAUCUCCAACGUCACACAGAAGAGAAUGUGCUGAGGUGUGACCUCCCUCACCCUGCCUUGGCUGCGUGGGGCACUGUCUCUCCAGGACUCACCCUGCCCCCCAGUAGACUGAAGUCUGAAGAUCAACCCAGUCUUCCUUCAGGCCUCAAUGCCCUCUCACUUCCCCAGCCCGAGGGACUCCUGGCUCUUCUCGGAGGCUGCUCUGUGGGGUCCCUCCCUUGGGCCUUUGCUAAUGCUGUGCCCUCUGCCUGUCCCAGAGGUGGGCCUGGGCCCAUUUCUCAGGGAGCUCCUGAACACCAAGAAAUUGAAUUGCUUUGUAAAUAAACCAAAAGUGCCAAACAAGCCUGCCUGUCACUUGGGAGAUGGCCCGUCUCUGCCCCACCAAAUUUGCUAAUCAAACAAAUAACCUAAAAUAGAAUAGAAAGAACUC